This 251-nucleotide ribosomal RNA is filed under the name uncultured bacterium. RNAcentral describes it as "partial 16S ribosomal RNA". It matches the Rfam family "Bacterial small subunit ribosomal RNA", at positions 524 to 776 of the family's 1533-position model. The record is from RNAcentral.
UACGGAGGGUGCUAGCGUUACCCGGAUUACUGGGUGUAAAGGGCGUGUAGGCGGUCUCUCAAGUCCGAUGCUAAAGACCGAGGCUCAACCUCGGGAGUGCGUUGGAUACUGUGAGGCUAGACGGUCGGAGAGGGCAGCGGAAUUCUCGGAGUAGCGGUGAAAUGCGCAGAUACCGAGAGGAACGCCAAUAGCGAAGGCAGCUGCCUGGACGAUUUGUGACGCUGAGGCGCGAAGCGUGGGGAGCAAUCCGG